GGUGAACGCUGGCGGUGCGCUUAAUGCAUGCAAGUCGAGCGUGUCCCGGUGGCGCAAGCUGCCGGGAAAAGCGGCAAACGGAUGAGUAACGCGUGAGCAACCUGCCCUUCGGUGGGGUACAGCCCAGAGAAAUCUGGGUUAAUCCCGCAUACGGUCCCCGGACCNUGGUUCGGGGAGGAAAGCCUUCGGGCGCCGGAGGAGGGGCUCGCGUCCUAUCAGGUAGUUGGCGAGGUAACGGCUCACCAAGCCGAUGACGGGUAGCUGGUCUGAGAGGACGGCCAGCCAGAGGGGGACUGAGACACGGCCCCCACUCCUACGGGAGGCAGCAGCAGGGAAUUUUGGGCAAUGGGCGAAAGCCUGACCCAGCGACACCGCGUGGAGGACGAAGGCCUUCGGGCUGUAAACUCCUUUUCCGGGGGAAGAGAAAGGACGGUACCCUGGGAAUAAGCUCCGGCUAACUACGUG
Molecule: ribosomal RNA, 465 nt
Filed under: uncultured bacterium
Lineage: Bacteria
Description: bacterial SSU rRNA
Rfam family: Bacterial small subunit ribosomal RNA
Source: RNAcentral